GCUAGGUGGGGUGGCAUACACCUGUAAUCCCAAUGGCUUGGGAGGCUGAGACAGGAGAAUCAUGAGUUCAAAGCCAGCAUUACCAAUGACGAGCCGCUAAGUAACUCAGUGAGACCCUGUCUCUA
Molecule: small RNA, 125 nt
Filed under: Marmota monax (woodchuck)
Lineage: Eukaryota; Metazoa; Chordata; Mammalia; Rodentia; Sciuridae
Source: RNAcentral